Molecule: long non-coding RNA, 398 nt
Organism: Pristis pectinata (smalltooth sawfish)
Lineage: Eukaryota; Metazoa; Chordata; Chondrichthyes; Rhinopristiformes; Pristidae
Exons: 3
Source: RefSeq, a predicted model, not a curated record
GAGAACGUUUCUGUCGAUGCCCAGGAGAGACUUGACAGGCUGGGACUAUUUUCCCUGGAGCAAACGAGUCUGAGGGGUGAGUUGCAGAGUCGGGAGUUGGAGCAAGAUUUGGAGCAGGACCUUUGAAAAGAGGCUCCGUGUCCUCCUCACAACCUGCUGACCCACCUGUCUUUGUAUCAGCAGCACAUUCGGCCCAAGGAUCCCUCGUCCGCUACAUCCAAGUCACUGACACAGGCUGUAACCAGUUCAGUGCCACACUGACCCCUGUGGCCCCCACUAGUUACUGAUCACCAGUCUGAAAAUGACCCAUUUAUCCCGACUCUGUUUCUAAGUUAACUGCUCCCUUAUCUGUGCCAAGUGUUUUCCCCACCCUGUGUCCACUGAUCUGGUGCAGUGAC